Antrostomus carolinensis (chuck-will's-widow) is the source of this 703-nucleotide long non-coding RNA. RefSeq lists it as uncharacterized. Lineage: Eukaryota; Metazoa; Chordata; Aves; Caprimulgiformes; Caprimulgidae. The transcript has 3 exons. The record is from RefSeq and is a predicted model, not a curated record.
GGAAAAGUGGCCCAGACAGCAUGCAUGUCAUCCUGCCAGCAUCUUUCAACAUCCCUAAUGCAGAUGCUACUGGACAGUGAAUUAAAACAAAUAAGCAUGGGAGCAAUUCAGCAGUUUAAUUUAGAUGUGAUACAAUGUGAACUGUUUGCUAGUUCUGAGCCUGUGCCAGGAUUCCAGGGAGACACCCUGCAGUUAGCUUUCAUCGACCUCAGACAACUCCUCUGAACAAGCAGAGAGAAGCAUGUUACAUCUGUAACAUGAAGCCCAGCCUCAGGGUGCUAUGUAAUGGGAUUUGCGCUUCUCUAGUUUUCAGUGCAAUGCUGCUUAUUCAGCUAAAGAAAGGAGCUCAGAUUUCAGACAGCAACAAAACAAGAGUUGCACCUCUUUGGAUUUCAGACCAUAGAUCCUGGCUCUGCUGGGGAAGGAAGCAACACUCUUGCUGGCCUUCCCCUUCUGCAUAAAUUGGCUCUGCACUAAAGCAGAAUGAGGGUUUGAGGCACACUGUGAGCAGAACAGGGAAACUUCAAGGCUCAAUAUCUUAUGUAUUUGCACCAUACAGGGUAGCACACAUAUGCAUACCUGUGCUCAAAAUUACACAGUUUUUUGAGUAUGACUGCAUGUUAAAUGUGUGCUAUCCAGAUUGCAAGGGACACACAAUGUCUUUUCAGAGUACUGUAUUCUUAAAAGUAAAUGUGAAUUGUUC